This 424-nucleotide ribosomal RNA is filed under the name Potamocarcinus sp. CR2. RNAcentral describes it as "partial 16S ribosomal RNA". The stretch from base 271 to 424 matches the Rfam family "Bacterial large subunit ribosomal RNA", at positions 2473 to 2627 of the family's 2925-position model. The record is from RNAcentral. Lineage: Eukaryota; Metazoa; Arthropoda; Malacostraca; Decapoda; Pseudothelphusidae.
GGUUGGACAAAAGGAAAACGUCUUCUUAAUAUAAAUUGAAUUUAACUUUUAAGUGAAAAGGCUUAAAUAUUUCAGAGGGACGWUAAGACCCUAUAAAGCUUUAUAUAAAAUUGAUUUUAGAUUGAAAUUUUAUUAAAGAAUAAGAUUUAUGUUUAUAUUAUGUUGGGGUAACAAAAGUAUAAUUAUUAGUAACUGCUUAGUUUGUAAACAGGUAUGUUUGUAUUAUUAAGUGAUCCUUAUUUAAAGAUUUUAAGAUUAAGUUACUUUAGGGAUAACAGCGUAAUUUUUUUAGAGAGUUACUAUCGAAAAAAGAGUUUGCGACCUCGAUGUUGAAUUAAAAUUUCUAUAUAGUGCAGCUAUUAUAUAAGGAGGUCUGUUCGACCUUUAAUUUUUUACAUGAUUUGAGUUCAGACCGGCGUGAGCC